UGUGGGGAGGCAUGGUGAAAUGCUGUGGAAACAACAAUGAUUCAACCAAUGUGUACUAGAGGUCGAGCGAUUAAUCGGGGCCGAUUUCAAGUUUUCAUAACAAUCGGAAAUCUGUAUUUUUGGGCACCGAUUUGCACAUUUCUUUUUUUUUCACCUUUAUUUAAUCUUUAUUUAACUAGGCAAGUCAGUUAAGAACACAUUCUUAUUUUCAAUGACGGCCCAGGAACCCCUAAACGAGGCAGAACGACAGAUUUUUAACCUUGUCAGCUCGGGGGAUCCAAUCUUGCAUUGAUUACAUUGCACUCCACGAGGAGCCUGCCUGUUAGCGAAUGCAGUAAGCUAAGAACCUGAGCCCUAGGACCAUACGUCAGGACUACCGGGCAUGCUGACACCUUGCUGUCCCCAGUCCGCCCGGCCUUGCUGCUAUUCCAGUUUCAACUGUUCUGCCUGAGGUUACGAAACCCCUACCUGUCCCAGACCUGCUGUUUUCAACUCUUAAUGAUCGGCUAUGAAAAGCCAACUGAGAUUUAUUCCUGAUUAUUAUUUGACCAUGCUUGUCAUUUAUGAACAUUUUGAAAAUGUUGGCUCUCUCUAAUUUUCUCCUUCUCUCUUUCUUUCUCUCGGAGGACCUGAGCCCUGGGACCAUACGUCGGGACUACCGGCCGUGGUGACUCCUUGCUGCCCUCAGUCCGCCUGGCCUUGCUGCUAUUCCAGUUUCAACUCUUCUGCCUGCGGUUAUGGAACCCCUACCUGUCCCAGACCUGCUGUUUUCAACUCUUAAUGAUCGGCUAUGAAAAGCCAACUGAGAUUUAUUCCUGAUUAUUAUUUGACCAUGCUUGUCAUUUAUGAACAUUUUGAAAAUCUUGGCUCUCUCUAAUUUUCUCCUUCUCUCUUUCUUUCUCUCGGAGGACCUGGGCCCUAGGACCAUGCGUCGGGACUGCCGCCCGUGGUGACUCCUUGCUGUCCCCAGUCCGCCUGGCCUUGCUGCUAUUCCAGUUUCAGCUGUUCUGCCUGCGGUUAUGGAACCGCCACCUGUCCCAGACCUGUUGUUUUUCAACUCUUAAUGAUCAGCUAUGAAAAGCCAACUGAAAAUUAUUCAUGAUUAUUAUUUGACCAUGCUUGUCACUUAUGAACAUUUUUGAACAUCUUGGCAUAGUUCUGUUAUAAUCUCCACCCGGCACAGCCAGAAGAGGACUGGCCACCCCUCAUAGCCUGGUUCCUCUCUAGGUUUCUUCCUAGGUUUUGGCCUUUCUAGGGAGUUUUUCCUAGCCACCGUGCUUCUUCACCUGCAUUACUAGCUGUUUGGGGUUUUAGGCUGGGUUUCUGUACAGCACUUCGAGAUAUUAGCUGAUGUACGAAGGGCUAUAUAAAAUAAAAUUGAUUGAU
This is a long non-coding RNA of Salvelinus fontinalis (brook trout), 1386 nucleotides long. RefSeq lists it as uncharacterized. Lineage: Eukaryota; Metazoa; Chordata; Actinopteri; Salmoniformes; Salmonidae. The record is from RefSeq and is a predicted model, not a curated record. The transcript has 2 exons.